Molecule: ribosomal RNA, 490 nt
Filed under: uncultured bacterium
Lineage: Bacteria
Description: partial 16S ribosomal RNA
Rfam family: Bacterial small subunit ribosomal RNA
Source: RNAcentral
AUUGAACGCUGGCGGCAGGCCUAACACAUGCAAGUCGAACGGUAACAGGAAGAUGCUUGCUUCUUUGCUGACGAGUGGCGGACGGGUGAGUAAUGUCUGGGAAACUGCCUGCUGGAGGGGGAUAACUACUGGAAACGGUAGCUACUACCGCAUAACGUCGCAAGCCCAAAGAGGGGGACCUUCGGGCCUCUUGCCAUCGGAUGUGCCCAGGUGGGAUUAGCUAGUAGGUGGGGUAACGGCUCACCUAGGCGACGAUCCCUAGCUGGUCUGAGAGGAUGACCAGCCACACUGGAACUGAGACACGGACCAGACUCCUACGGGAGGCAGCAGUGGGGAAUAUUGGACAAUGGGCGCAAGCCUGAUGCAGCCAUGCGGCGUGUAUGAAGAAGGCCUUCGGGUUGUAAAGUACUUUCAGCGGGGAGGAAGGGAGUAAAGUUAAUACCUAUGCUCAGUGACGGUACCGGCAGAAGAAGCACCGGCUAACUACGUG